Molecule: long non-coding RNA, 1187 nt
Organism: Orbicella faveolata
Lineage: Eukaryota; Metazoa; Cnidaria; Anthozoa; Scleractinia; Merulinidae
Source: RefSeq, a predicted model, not a curated record
UUUUACGUUUUGUCGUUUUUGAAAGUCAUGUUUCGUCCUUUUGGAACUCAAGUUUGAUUUGGUGGCUAUUUCUGAAGACCAAUUUCUUAACGCUUUCCGAUUUAUUUCAGAAAAACAAGCCGUCAGCUCGUGAGAAAGUUGUUAAAUCACGUGACAGUUAUGAUACCUUAUUGCCACAUACAAGUAAUGUGUAAUGGCUUAAAACAAUGAACGAUUAUUAAGCAAAUUGAGCUCUUAGUUUCGAUACCGCCAAUUUGAACGUAUGCAUUAACGUGUUUGCUUGAAAUUCAUUAUAAUGUGACAAUAGCUUUUUCGUUGUUUGUGAAGUUGCUGUUAAUUGUCAGUUUUGCUCUUUUGGAGCUCAAGUUCAGUAAUCAACAACAUUCCUGAGCUGAAAAGGUAAUUCCCCUGGUGGCAGAUGACAAACUUGCUAGGUCCAUGCGACUUUGUCGCCUUUGGUCGCCUUUUGUUUACAACUGUAAUCUCUGAUAGAAAUUUUCGUGCACAACUUUAAUCUGAAACAUGACAUUAGAAAUGCAAGAAUGGUUGUUUGUCUCGACUCUCUUUCUGGAUGGUCUUGCUUCUCUUAGGGUCUCUAUAAAAAGGAUAAAUUACUAGAAUAUUUCGCUAGACGCUAGACGCUAGAAAAUUUUUCGUUAAGCAAAUAUUAGGAACGCUACUUUAGACAAAUGUAGCUGGGUACGCGCAGUUUUUUCAGGUUCUACAACUUCCCGCAAGUCUUGGCAGAUGUAACUUGAGCUUCAAUAAUGUGACUCUUCAAGAUAAGAGCUGUCAAUAUCGCAUGCAAUUGUUUUAGAGUUAGGUCUUCUUUAGAAAAGAGACAAAGCAAAACACAAAAUUCAGUUUUUCACAGGCAACGACCCUGUUGAGAAGGAUUAGUCUACCUCUGAAGAGAAUUUGAAGGGAAGACAUCCAAUUGAGAGGACUCUAGCGCAAAAAAGGAACUGAUCAAGAAAAUGACUGUAUAUUGCUAUCCUACUUCUAUCGACAGUCUGAUUGAACAUUAUAAGACCAAGGUGCGAUCCCAAUACCAGACUUGGAUGGUGAACGGUCCGUUCACUUACACUCCGUCGGGGAAGAAGCGUGCGCCGAGCAAAGAACUGGUUUUGCAGUGGAUCCAAAAGGCAUGGCAAGAGAUACCCGCUGAUUUGAUCGCGAACUCAUUC